This 341-nucleotide long non-coding RNA is filed under the name Marmota monax (woodchuck). The record is from RNAcentral. Lineage: Eukaryota; Metazoa; Chordata; Mammalia; Rodentia; Sciuridae.
CCAUUUCACAGGCCUGCCUUCUCUCACUAACGAUCUUCCUCGUCCCCGGGCCAACUCGGACAGUUUGCUCAUUUAUUGCAACGGUCAAGGCUGGCUCGUGCCAGAGCAGCGCGCGCGCGCACGCACACUCGGGGAAACUUUUUUAAAAAAAUGAAAAGCUAGACUCGCUCCUCUCCGCGCGGGCGCUGCGCGAGGGGGUCGGAGCUGACUCGCUGCAGCAGGAAAUCCCUCCGGCAGCGACGCCCGGCCCCGGCUCGCCGCCCGCGUGGGAUGGUGCAGUGCUGGCCGCCGGGCCCCGAGAGCUGCUGCACGGAAGGCUGGCGACCAUGGCAGCGCGCCCG